RNAcentral lists this unclassified non-coding RNA (2538 nucleotides) under Hevea brasiliensis (rubber tree). The record is from RNAcentral. Lineage: Eukaryota; Viridiplantae; Streptophyta; Magnoliopsida; Malpighiales; Euphorbiaceae.
AGCAAAUCUAUUAAAUAACUGAUCCAGUUUUAAACAAUGUAGUAAAGCGUUGAAGAAUUUGGCCAGGUUAAGAGAGGUCAAGUAAUUUUUUAUCAUUCCUUUUCUCAACUACUUCCUCUAACCAAAUCAGACCAGCCCCAGCCCUGUCCCAAUGAUACUUAAAUGUUACACAAGGGAGAACAAUAGAGGACUCUUGGAUGCUUUUUUUUUCAACUAUAAGGACAUUCACCAACAAUCAACGCAAAAGUAUGACAAGAACCAACACCAACAUCAAAUUCAACAUAUUUUCCAGGUCUUUUUCUUUUUUCAUUUUAUUCAUUGAAAUCAUGCGCGCGCCCCCACCCCCCUCCAACUCUACAGUGAAGGAGACGAAACAAACUGCCUGGGUAAACUAAAGAGAUCAUUCCCUUCAAAUGGAGAUGUCCAUUCAUGAGAAUUAGCUGCAGAUGUUUCUGGAUUGACCACUCCAACGUCCUGCAAUCCUGGAAUGCAUACAACAUUCCCACUUGCAGCUGUUCUCAUUGCCAACUUAGCACCCAAGCUAGCACUACUUGAAUGUAUUUGGGUGCCAUUUUUUAAAUAACCUGGGCCCAUCCACAUUCCACUAAGCCUUGUAGAGGACAAUCCUCGAUCCAAACUCCAGUCUACGCUGGCGUAAUCUAACUGAGCCACUGAGCCAGCAGUGCUCCAGUCAACUGGAGAAGAGGCACCUGAUGAACCAGCUGAGCCACCCAACCCGGAGAAGAGUCCAAGAGAUGAAGCAGCAGCAAGUGUAGGUGAUGCACCUGUUCUGCUCCAUAAGCCAUUUCCUCUGCUGGUUCCAGGAGAAUCCCCAGGGCUACUGCCUGGAACGAAGUGUUGCUGUUGCUGAUAAUGAAGUUGAUGGAACAUCUGAUUAGAAUUCAGAUUGUUCGGACUGAGGCUUCUUGUGGUGGGAAUAUUUGGCAUCAAGCAAGUGGACUUCACAACAUCGACACCAUUAGUAGGAUACCAACUGGCAGCAGUUCCAGGAGAAGAAGAACUUAUGCUUGUAGCUGGAACCUGCUUUGUAUUCGCAGAUUGAGGUCUUUGCAUCAUGAUGACCGGUUCCAUAACUGUCCCAGGGUGAAGAUUCUUAUAUUCACUGCCAACAGCCACAAAACGUGCUUCUGUCUUGGCUGGAGGAGGUGAGACCUGCAAAGGUGAUGCCAAAGAAUAAGAAACAGUAGGACUUGCUCCCACACUUGGCCACCUUUUCUCAGCAGGCACUGCACUUUGCUGAGGUUUUGCCCACUCCAACUUUGGUUGUAUUCUCUUUAAAGGCUGCAGAUUUUUACUCCCAGACUCUGGAGAUCCUGCUACGGGAACCACUGUCUUUGUGUAAUUAAAAUCUUUGUCAUCUCUUUUUUGUUGUAUCAUAGAAGGUGGAUUGGAUUUCUGUUGUUGUUGUCUCACCAUAUUCUGGCUAACUGCAACUGAAAGUUUACCAUUACUGACUGUUGGAGGAUCACCAGUUUCUUCUGGCUUAGGGGGAGCAGCAGGUGGAUCUAGCUUCAGUUCUCUUAAACUUUCUGCUGCCGUGUCAAGAUCACCUUCAGAGGCAACCACAGCUCUUUCAACCUCCUGCUUGCUGCACUUGUAUCUUAUUUCCAUCUGGGCCAUUCUAGCAAGCUCUUCUGAUAUGUCAAUUUUCAAAUUACUCCCACCAAGGUUUUGAUCCCGGUGCUUAUCCGCAUCUUCACCCUCUUCAAAUAGCCAAGAAACAGAUUCUUCUACUUUUCCUUCAUUUAAUAUUAGCGCCAUUGUAGCCCGCUCAUGUGAAAAUCCCAUUGCAACAAGCUGUUGAGCAAGUGCUUCUAGCUUUCUUGACAUUAGAUAGCCACUGCACCGCUCAUGCAAUUCCUGGGCUCGCCUCUCCUUUUGACGCUGAUGCUUCCUCUCAUUCUUUUGACGGAUUUUUUCCCUCUUGUCAUUGUCAGCCCCUGGGAUUGUUUCCUGCUGAACAGUAGGAUUCUUCUCUUUAUGAUCUUCUGACUCACCAGACCAGCUGCCAUUAUUUGAAACAGAAUCAUACUCAACCCCAGCUCCAAGUGAACCACCAAAGUGAUCAUCUGUCUCAUCUAUGUUCUGGUAACGACCAUUAGCAUGCAGAGGUGAAGGAGAGGAUGUUGGUACUGUUUCCAGUGCAUGAAAUGUUCCAGAAAGUGGAUUGUAUGCACUAGCUGGUAUACAACUACCUGCAUUAGUAGGCCCAGAAGGCUUCGAUGAAGCUUUCUGGGGUUCCUUGCCAGCCCUUUUGUCCUUGGACUUGGAUUUUGAUGCUGGAGACAUUUCCUCGAAAGCAAUUUAUUCCGGUGGAGAGAAACAGACGACUGCGUGAUGGAUGGAAGGAUCGCGAUUAAAGUCGGGAAGGAGACAAUAGAAAGAUAGGUAUUUCGAGGCCCAAAAAACAGAAUCGAUAGAAUUAGGGUUUGAGACAAGAAAAAGAGAAGGAAAAAGAUAUUGGAAAUGAUAAUUCCGAAACUCUUAUUAACCCACCAGGUACAAUACAUGGAUGGC